GCGCCCCGCAAGGGGAGCGGCAGACGGGAGAGUAACACGUGGGAACGUACCCUUCAGUUCGGAACAACCAAGGGAAACUUUGGCUAAUACCGAAUACGUCCGUAAGGAGAAAGAUUUAUCGCUGAAGGAUCGGCCCGCGUCUGAUUAGCUAGUUGGUGAGGUAAUGGCUCACCAAGGCGACGAUCAGUAGCUGGUCUGAGAGGAUGAUCAGCCUCACUGGGACUGAGACACGGCCCAGACUCCUACGGGAGGCAGCAGUGGGGAAUAUUGGACAAUGGGCGCAAGCCUGAUCCAGCCAUGCCGCGUGGAUGAUGAAGGCCCUAGGGUUGUAAAGUCCUUUCGGCGGGGAAGAUAAUGACGGUACCCGCAGAAGAAGCCCCGGCUAACUUCGUGCCAGCAGCCGCG
RNAcentral lists this ribosomal RNA (405 nucleotides) under uncultured soil bacterium. RNAcentral's name for it is "bacterial SSU rRNA". It matches the Rfam family "Bacterial small subunit ribosomal RNA", at positions 66 to 519 of the family's 1533-position model. The record is from RNAcentral.